Homo sapiens (human) is the source of this 431-nucleotide long non-coding RNA. RefSeq lists it as uncharacterized. The transcript is spliced from 2 exons. Lineage: Eukaryota; Metazoa; Chordata; Mammalia; Primates; Hominidae. The record is from RefSeq and is a predicted model, not a curated record.
GGCGGGGGAUGGAGGUGGGGGCUGUACUUGUGCUCUGAGCCUGCCCGCUGGCUGUGGGGACCUGACCUUUUCUGCACUGAGGGGAAGGAAUGGGGUAAUUAGCUUAUAUAAUCCCCGGCCUGCCUGCUGUUUGCUGUGGAUGUGGACAAACUCCAUGAAAAUGUGGACUUCUGGGCUGCUGCUGUGGGAUCCCUUCAGAGGGCUCGCCGAAGUAAUACAGGACAGUGCAUGCGCGAUUGUGCAGCCCCAGGAGCGUUCACAAACUGAACACAUCUGUGCCGCCGGCAUCCAGAUUCAGAAACAGGAAGUGACCAGCACAACCCCCUUCAUGCCCCUCCCAACCACCACCGCACAACGACCCCACCAUCCUGGCUUCUGUAGCAUUGAUCAGAUUUGUCUGUUUCUGCACUUUAUAUAAAUGGAAUCAUACA